RNAcentral lists this ribosomal RNA (776 nucleotides) under uncultured Neocallimastigales. RNAcentral's name for it is "partial large subunit ribosomal RNA". It matches the Rfam family "Eukaryotic large subunit ribosomal RNA", at positions 23 to 649 of the family's 3401-position model. Lineage: Eukaryota; Fungi; Neocallimastigomycota; Neocallimastigomycetes; Neocallimastigales. The record is from RNAcentral.
UAUGUGAUCGUCUCUCGCAUAUCAAUAAGUGGAGGAAAAGAAACUAACAAGGAUUCCCCUAGUAACGGCGAGUGAAGCGGGAAGAGCUCAAAUUUGAAAUCUUAAAGGGUUUCCCUUUACGAAUUGUAGUUUAAAGAAGUGUUUUCUGUUGAGGUUUUGGUAAAAGUUCUUUGGAAUAGGACAUCAUAGAGGGUGAGAAUCCCGUAUUUGACCUUUACUUUCAACUUUGUGAUACACUUUCAAAGAGUCGGAUUGUUUGGGAAUGCAGUCCAAAAUGGGUGGUAAAUUUCAUCUAAAGCUAAAUAUUGGCGAGAGACCGAUAGCGAACAAGUACCGUGAGGGAAAGAUGAAAAGAACUUUGAAAAGAGAGUUAAACAGUACGUGAAAUUGUCAAAAGGGAAGCGUUUGACACCAGUGUUGUUUUUCUGAAAAUCAAUUAAAGAACUGUUUAUGCUAAGCUGUUUAGACUUUAUCAGCUAAUCUGUUUAGUUUUGAGCUUUUCUUUAAUGCACUUUUCAGUUAACAAGUCAACAUCAAUUUCUUUUGCUGUAAAAAAGCUUGAGGAAGGUGGCUUGAGAAUUCGUCUUAAGUGUUUAUAGCCUCUUGCCUAUGCAGUCGGAGAGAUUGAGGUCUGCAGCGUAGAUCCUUCGGGGCUAAAUGCAUUUGUGCUAAGUUAUAGCAUUUUAUAGACAACUUGUUGACUAUGAUUUGUCUUGUAGCUUACUCGCUUAUGUUAUUUUACCUACGCUUAGGAUGUUGAGUAGCGACAUACGCAC